Molecule: ribosomal RNA, 497 nt
Filed under: uncultured bacterium
Lineage: Bacteria
Description: partial 16S ribosomal RNA
Rfam family: Bacterial small subunit ribosomal RNA
Source: RNAcentral
GAUGAACGCUGGCGGCGUGCCUAAUACAUGCAAGUCGAGCGAACGGACGAGAAGCUUGCUUCUCUGAUGUUAGCGGCGGACGGGUGAGUAACACGUGGAUAACCUACCUAUAAGACUGGGAUAACUUCGGGAAACCGUAGCUAAUACCGGAUAAUAUUUUGAACCGCAUGGUUCAAAAGUGAAAGACGGUCUUGCUGUCACUUAUAGAUGGAUCCGCGCUGCAUUAGAUAGUUGGUAAGGUAACGGCUUACCAAGGCAGCGAUGCAUAGCCGACCUGAGAGGGUGAUCGGCCACACUGGAACUGAGACACGGUCCAGACUCCUACGGGAGGCAGCAGUAGGGAAUCUUCCGCAAUGGGCGAAAGCCUGACGGAGCAACGCCGCGUGAGUGAUGAAGGUCUUCGGAUCGUAAAACUCUGUUAUUAGGGAAGAACAUAUGUGUAAGUAACUGUGCACAUCUUGACGGUACCUAAUCAGAAAGCCACGGCUAACUACGUG